CCCAGACUCCUACGGGAGGCAGCAGUGGGGGAUAUUGCACAAUGGGGGGAACCCUGAUGCAGCGACGCCGCGUGGGUGAAGGAGCGUUUCGGCGCGUAAAGCCCUAUCGGCAGGGAAGAAGGAGGACGGUACCUGACUAAGAAGCCCCGGCUAACUACGUGCCAGCAGCCGCGGUAAUACGUAGGGGGCAAGCGUUAUCCGGAUUUACUGGGUGUAAAGGGGGCGCAGACGGCAGCGCAAGCCAGGAGUGAAAGCCCGGGGCCCAACCCCGGGACUGCUCUUGGAACUGCGCGGCUGGAGUGCAGGAGGGGCAGGCGGAAUUCCUGGUGUAGCGGUGAAAUGCGUAGAUAUCAGGAGGGACACCGGUGGCGAAGGCGGCCUGCUGGACUGCGACUGACGUUGAGGCCCGAAAGCGUGGGGAGCAAACAGGAUUAGAUACCCCCGUAC
Molecule: ribosomal RNA, 447 nt
Filed under: uncultured bacterium
Lineage: Bacteria
Description: partial 16S ribosomal RNA
Rfam family: Bacterial small subunit ribosomal RNA
Source: RNAcentral